UACGUAGGGUGCGAGCGUUAUUCGGAAUUACUGGGCGUAAAGCGUGCGCAGGCGGCGCCGCAUGUCGAGUGUGAAAGCCCCGAGCUUAACUUGGGAAUUGCGCUCGAAACUACGGUGCUGGAGUGUGGCAGAGGAAGGUGGAAUUCCACGUGUAGCGGUGAAAUGCGUAGAGAUGUGGAGGAACACCGAUGGCGAAGGCAGCCUUCUGGGCCAACACUGACGCUCAUGCACGAAAGCGUGGGGAGCAAACAGG
Molecule: ribosomal RNA, 253 nt
Filed under: uncultured bacterium
Lineage: Bacteria
Description: partial 16S ribosomal RNA
Rfam family: Bacterial small subunit ribosomal RNA
Source: RNAcentral